This is a long non-coding RNA of Coregonus clupeaformis (lake whitefish), 1131 nucleotides long. RefSeq lists it as uncharacterized. The record is from RefSeq and is a predicted model, not a curated record. The transcript is spliced from 3 exons. NCBI's taxonomy places the organism in Eukaryota, Metazoa, Chordata, Actinopteri, Salmoniformes, Salmonidae.
CUAAAUGUAUUUUAUAUUAAGUAGCCACCCUUAUAAUUGCAUCGUGCAUAAGAACAGCCCUUAGCUGUGGUAUAUUGGCUAUAUACCACACCCCCUCUGGCUUUAUUGCUUAAAUCUACAGUCUGUCUAAUGACCCUUUUUUAUUCAGACGGCAACAAGAGGAGGCAUCAGAUUCGGAUAAAUUGUUGAGGACAAGGCGGCCUUGACAGCUGCCAUUGUUCAACUUCACGAGCAGCAGGCAGAGUUUAGGCUCCCCACAGUGGAUGAGCUGCUCAAUACUGACAACUUGGUGUGGCCAUGGGAGAGAGUUGGAAACAGCAACAGCCAGCUUACCAUCAAUAAGGCAAUCUUUGACAGACUGAUGUUGGUGAACAGACCGCAGGAGAUGAAGAGGCACUGGGGGAGCCUACAAAGAGCAGCGGGAACUCUGGAUCCGCUGUCCCUACAGCUGCAAGAUCAGAGCAAUGCAGUGGAGUUGUCAGAGGAAGGGAGGAAUGGCCUUACCUGCCUCCUGAAGAGAAGAUUGAGUGAACUGACACGAGACCAAGACAACACCAGGAACACCUACCACAAGCUGAUUUUGGGAGAAUGAACUAUUUUUGAUGACUGAUGAAGAUGAAAACAGAUAAAGAUAGUCCUAUUGCUGAGAGCUCAGAUGAUGACUUUCCUUUCUGAAAUCAUACACCACCCCUGUCUCUUUCUCUCUGUCUCUCUCUCUCUCCCGCAGGAGAGGGAGAAGGAUGCCACCACCUCCCUCAAGAGCAGCCUGGUCUCCCGAUGUUGACCCCUGACCUCUGAAACCAUCCAGGAAAUGUUAUUUGCCUGAUGACACGCUAGUGGAGAAGGAAUGUCUCAAUUCAGCACAUUUGUUGCCAUGUUUCCUCUCCUCACCUCCUCUCCUCUAUUUCUUCCGGUCCUAGACUAUGGAGACAUCAUCAGUAAUUCACAAAAUUGGCUGAGGACCUCUUUACUGAGGAAUGUGGUUGUUCUUCAGGAUUGUUUUUUAAAUAUUUUCUUGGGAGUAUUUUCUAUGCUGCCGUGAUUGUGUGAUUUUUGUGUAAUUGUGAGUUGCAAAAGAGUCCUUGGUCUCAAUGGGACUGCUAAAAUUAAUAAAGUAAAGGUCUUAAUAAA